GCUCCCAUGGCGUAGUGGUCACUGUUCUCGCCUAGCACGCGGGAGACCCGGGUUCGAUUCCCGGCGGAGUCA
RNAcentral lists this transfer RNA (72 nucleotides) under Diaphorina citri (Asian citrus psyllid). It matches the Rfam family "tRNA". From Rfam's summary of the family: Transfer RNA (tRNA) molecules are approximately 80 nucleotides in length. Their secondary structure includes four short double-helical elements and three loops (D, anti-codon, and T loops). Lineage: Eukaryota; Metazoa; Arthropoda; Insecta; Hemiptera; Psyllidae. The record is from Rfam by way of RNAcentral.